This 491-nucleotide ribosomal RNA is filed under the name uncultured bacterium. RNAcentral's name for it is "partial 16S ribosomal RNA". It matches the Rfam family "Bacterial small subunit ribosomal RNA", at positions 29 to 506 of the family's 1533-position model. The record is from RNAcentral.
AGUGAACGCUGGCGGUAGGCCUAACACAUGCAAGUCGAACGGCAGCACAGUAAGAGCUUGCUCUUACGGGUGGCGAGUGGCGGACGGGUGAGGAAUACAUCGGAAUCUACUUUUUCGUGGGGGAUAACGUAGGGAAACUUACGCUAAUACCGCAUACGACCUACGGGUGAAAGCAGGGGAUCUUCGGACCUUGCGCGAUUGAAUGAGCCGAUGUCGGAUUAGCUAGUUGGCGGGGUAAAGGCCCACCAAGGCGACGAUCCGUAGCUGGUCUGAGAGGAUGAUCAGCCACACUGGAACUGAGACACGGUCCAGACUCCUACGGGAGGCAGCAGUGGGGAAUAUUGGACAGUGGGCGCAAGCCUGAUCCAGCCAUACUGCGUGGGUGAAGAAGGCCUUCGGGUUGUAAAGCCCUUUUGUUGGGAAAGAAAAGCAGCAGGUUAAUACCCCGCUGUUCUGACGGUACCCAAAGAAUAAGCACCGGCUAACUUCGU